Molecule: ribosomal RNA, 253 nt
Filed under: uncultured bacterium
Lineage: Bacteria
Description: partial 16S ribosomal RNA
Rfam family: Bacterial small subunit ribosomal RNA
Source: RNAcentral
UACGGAGGGUGCAAGCGUUGUCCGGAUUUAUUGGGUUUAAAGGGCGCGUAGGUGGCCCUAUAAGUCAGUGGUGAAAGUCUGCAGCUUAACUGUAGAACUGCCAUUGAUACUGUAGGGCUUGAGUACUGAUGAGGUAGGCGGAAUUGAUAGUGUAGCGGUGAAAUGCAUAGAUAUUAUCAAGAACACCGAUUGCGAAGGCAGCUUACUAAGGAGUUACUGACACUGAGGCACGAAAGCGUGGGGAUCAAACGGG